CAUGCUGCUGACCUAACAGACGUACAUGCAAUUUGCAUGUUGCAAAACUCCAGUCGGAUGGUGAAUGGCAGCAAGCAAAAAUAACAACCUGUGUUAUGUGGGUAUCCUAGGCACAAGAAUCAUUGGGCUUGCAAUGUGAAGCUAGGGGAAGUUGCACAGCAGUACAGUGAUCCAUCCAACCUGAAAAUCCAUCCAGCACUAGUAGAGUAUUCAGUUGAAACCUAUACAGAGACACUCACAACCAAGGGUUUCAGCAGCAUCCGACCCCUUCACCUGGCACUUGCAGCACCUUCCUUCUCCUUCUCACCAUCCUACAAGCAAAAAAAUUGUGUCCAUUUCAGUCCCAAUUGUAGUACAACCAGAGAACCCAAAUGACCAAUUGAUGUCCCCAACGCCAUUUUCAGUUCAACCAGAUCCAACUACUAUAGCAAUUACUAAAAUAGAGGCAUACAGAUCUAAAGAUUUUAACAAAACAACAAACAAUUGGUGGCCAAGGUUGUUGUUUUAGCAGCAAACAGAGGCAUGCAAUUGUAAAGAGGGAAAGUAGCAGAGGCAUACCAUAGGCAACG
This 569-nucleotide long non-coding RNA is filed under the name Triticum aestivum (bread wheat). RNAcentral describes it as "long non-coding RNA (TAES_LNC017834)". Lineage: Eukaryota; Viridiplantae; Streptophyta; Magnoliopsida; Poales; Poaceae. The record is from RNAcentral.